Molecule: ribosomal RNA, 497 nt
Filed under: uncultured bacterium
Lineage: Bacteria
Description: partial 16S ribosomal RNA
Rfam family: Bacterial small subunit ribosomal RNA
Source: RNAcentral
GACGAACGCUGGCGGCGUGCCUAAUACAUGCAAGUUGAGCGAUGAAGAUUGGUGCUUGCACCAAUUUGCAGAGCAGCGAACGGGUGAGUAACGCGUGGGGAAUCUGCCUUUGAGCGGGGGACAACAUUUGGAAACGAAUGCUAAUACCGCAUAACAACUUUAAACAUAAGUUUUAAGUUUGAAAGAUGCAAUUGCAUCACUCAAAGAUGAUCCCGCGUUGUAUUAGCUAGUUGGUGAGGUAAAGGCUCACCAAGGCGAUGAUACAUAGCCGACCUGAGAGGGUGAUCGGCCACAUUGGGACUGAGACACGGCCCAAACUCCUACGGGAGGCGGCAGUAGGGAAUCUUCGGCAAUGGACGAAAGUCUGACCGAGCAACGCCGCGUGAGUGAAGAAGGUUUUCGGAUCGUAAAACUCUGUUGGUAGAGAAGAACGUUGGUGAGAGUGGAAAGCUCAUCAAGUGACGGUAACUACCCAGAAAGGGACGGCUAACUACGUG